AGGAGUGUAGCUCAAUUGGUAGAGCGCCGGUCUCCAAAAACCGAGUGUCGGGGUUUCGAUACCUGUCGCGCCUG
This 74-nucleotide transfer RNA is filed under the name Rickettsia parkeri. RNAcentral's name for it is "tRNA-Trp". It matches the Rfam family "tRNA". Rfam says of the family: Transfer RNA (tRNA) molecules are approximately 80 nucleotides in length. Their secondary structure includes four short double-helical elements and three loops (D, anti-codon, and T loops). Lineage: Bacteria; Pseudomonadati; Pseudomonadota; Alphaproteobacteria; Rickettsiales; Rickettsiaceae. The record is from RNAcentral.